RNAcentral lists this transfer RNA (72 nucleotides) under Sphingobium sp. RNAcentral's name for it is "tRNA-Ala". It matches the Rfam family "tRNA". From Rfam's summary of the family: Transfer RNA (tRNA) molecules are approximately 80 nucleotides in length. Their secondary structure includes four short double-helical elements and three loops (D, anti-codon, and T loops). The record is from RNAcentral. Lineage: Bacteria; Pseudomonadati; Pseudomonadota; Alphaproteobacteria; Sphingomonadales; Sphingobiaceae.
GGGGCCUUAGCUCAGCUGGGAGAGCGCGUCGUUCGCAAUGACGAGGUCAGGGGUUCGAUCCCCCUAGGCUCC